UCGAUUCUCUUUAUUAGCUAUCAGCGACCAAACAUGGAUCAAUAGCCAUUGAGGGUAGGACUCUACCUAUUUUACACUGUUAUUUCGUUUGUGAAAACUCCCUAUUAUUGGCAAUUGCAAUUUCAUUCAGUUUCAACAACUAUGCUUGCAGCUCAAAGUAUCCAAUUGGGUAUAUCAAUGAUGUUGCUGUGGCUAAAAAUGAAAGUCUCUUUGUCGGAUCUAUUCUUCAUCACACUGUUGGAACAAAACAAAAAUACCGGAUGCAACAUUCAAUAAAGUUGUGACGCUUGUUUGCUUAUGGAGCUAUUGCAAGAUCAAGAAGAUUACUUUGAGCGGACUGCUGAUAGGAACACUCCUUAUAGAUUUAUAGAUUAGCUUUGUUGUGUCAUUACAAACUUAUAUGAGC
RNAcentral lists this long non-coding RNA (406 nucleotides) under Nicotiana benthamiana. RNAcentral describes it as "long non-coding RNA (NBEN_LNC009006)". The record is from RNAcentral. Lineage: Eukaryota; Viridiplantae; Streptophyta; Magnoliopsida; Solanales; Solanaceae.